GAUGAACGCUGGCGGCGUGCCUAAUACAUGCAAGUCGAGCGAACAGACGAGGAUCUUGCUCCUCUGACGUUAGCGGCGGACGGGUGAGUAACACGUGGAUAACCUACCUAUAAGACUGGGAUAACUUCGGGAAACCGGAGCUAAUACCGGAUAAUAUAUUGAACCGCAUGGUUCAAUAGUGAAAGACGGUUUUGCUGUCACUUAUAGAUGGAUCCGCGCCGCAUUAGCUAGUUGGUAAGGUAACGGCUUACCAAGGCGACGAUGCGUAGCCGACCUGAGAGGGUGAUCGGCCACACUGGAACUGAGACACGGUCCAGACUCCUACGGGAGGCAGCAGUAGGGAAUCUUGCGCAAUGGGCGAAAGCCUGACGGAGCAACGCCGCGUGAGUGAUGAAGGUCUUCGGAUCGUAAAACUCUGUUAUUAGGGAAGAACAAAUGUGUAAGUAACUAUGCACGUCUUGACGGUACCUAAUCAGAAAGCCACGGCUAACUACGUG
This 497-nucleotide ribosomal RNA is filed under the name uncultured bacterium. RNAcentral describes it as "partial 16S ribosomal RNA". It matches the Rfam family "Bacterial small subunit ribosomal RNA", at positions 28 to 507 of the family's 1533-position model. The record is from RNAcentral.